RNAcentral lists this microRNA (23 nucleotides) under Scyliorhinus torazame (cloudy catshark). RNAcentral describes it as "Sto-Mir-130-P3c_5p* (star (passenger))". Lineage: Eukaryota; Metazoa; Chordata; Chondrichthyes; Carcharhiniformes; Scyliorhinidae. The record is from RNAcentral. RNAcentral also lists the same sequence under 1 other name.
ACCCUAUCAAUGUUGCCUCUGCU